Molecule: long non-coding RNA, 715 nt
Organism: Trichosurus vulpecula (common brushtail)
Lineage: Eukaryota; Metazoa; Chordata; Mammalia; Diprotodontia; Phalangeridae
Exons: 5
Source: RefSeq, a predicted model, not a curated record
CAGCGCUUUUAUUCUUGUCAAUUUGGUGGGUCUAGUAUGGUGCCUCAGAAUGGCUUUAAUUUGCACCUCUUGCUUAGUAAUGAGGUUGAGAAGUUUUCAAAUCCAAAAUACACACUUUUAGGGAAAUACCCCAGGCCAGUGAAACAAGGGAGCCACACUGAUUGACUGACUGACUAACUUUUCAUGGCAUUAGAGGUCCUGGUAUCCUGUGUCUGGAAUGCACUUGCUCCUUGUUUCUGCUUCUUGGAUUCUUUGGUUUCCUUCGGGAUUCAGAUCAAACACCAUCUUCUGCUUGAAGAGUUUCCUUAUCCUCUCAACCACCAAUACCUUCUCCCACCAAAGAUGGCUAGCUGUUUGAUAUUUUCCAGCAUAUCUCUGGUCUCUACCCUCAAGCUGCUUAAUAAAAGAAGACAACACAUAGAGGGAAGUGGUGGCCAGAGAAGGGAAUCUUGGUCUGUAGAGUCAAAAGUCUCAAUUGUCAUUCCCUUUCCAGAAGCAAUAGUGGAAUUGAUUUGAUUAACAAUGCAAAGCAAUGUUCUGGCCAACAAUGGAAGCUUAAGUGAGAAGGCAACAUAUGCUCAUCACAAUACCGUGAAUGUUGCACAUAUUAAAAAAUAAUACAAAACCAUACCUACGUGCUAAUAUGUACACGUGUAUCUAUAGGCAAACAUCUAAUCAAUAAUCAGUAUUGCUGCUAUGUGUAUUCCUUCUUACA